This 253-nucleotide ribosomal RNA is filed under the name uncultured bacterium. RNAcentral's name for it is "partial 16S ribosomal RNA". It matches the Rfam family "Bacterial small subunit ribosomal RNA", at positions 524 to 776 of the family's 1533-position model. The record is from RNAcentral.
UACGAAGGGGGCUAGCGUUGCUCGGAAUUACUGGGCGUAAAGCGCACGUAGGCGGAUUGUUAGGUCGGGGGUGAAAUCCUGGAGCUCAACUCCAGAACUGCCUUCGAAACUGGCGAUCUUGAGUCCGGGAGAGGUGAGUGGAACUGCGAGUGUAGAGGUGAAAUUCGUAGAUAUUCGCAAGAACACCAGUGGCGAAGGCGGCUCACUGGCCCGGUACUGACGCUGAGGUGCGAAAGCGUGGGGAGCAAACAGG